AAAAACAUCUUUUCUUGAAUUUAAUWUGAGAUUUUACCUGCCCAAUGAUUUAUUUAAUGGCCGCGGUAUAUUGACUGUGCAAAGGUAGCAAAAUCAUUAGUUUAUUAAUUGUGAACUUGUAUGAAUGGUUUGACGAAAUAUUAACUGUUUCUUAUUUAUAAUUGGAAUUUAAAUUUUGAGUUAAAAUGCUUAAUUUUAUUUUAUUAGACGAGAAGACCCUAUAGAUCUUUAUUAUUAAUAUAUUUUUGUUUUUAGUUAUUUUUAUUAUAUUAGUUUUUUUGUUGGGGUGACAUGGAGAUAUUAUAUUAAACUCUUUAUUUUUAUAUACAUUUAUUUUUGAUUAUUUGAUUUUAUUUUAGUAGUUUAAGAUUAGAUACCUUAGGGAUAACAGCGUUAUUUUUUUGAGAGUCUAUCGACA
RNAcentral lists this ribosomal RNA (418 nucleotides) under Austrocarausius sp. 3 BRJ-2022a. RNAcentral describes it as "partial large subunit ribosomal RNA". The record is from RNAcentral. Lineage: Eukaryota; Metazoa; Arthropoda; Insecta; Phasmatodea; Lonchodidae.